RNAcentral lists this non-coding RNA (28 nucleotides) under Homo sapiens (human). The record is from RNAcentral. Lineage: Eukaryota; Metazoa; Chordata; Mammalia; Primates; Hominidae.
UGCCAAACGGAUGGACUGUUGGAGGAGC